RNAcentral lists this ribosomal RNA (253 nucleotides) under uncultured bacterium. RNAcentral describes it as "partial 16S ribosomal RNA". It matches the Rfam family "Bacterial small subunit ribosomal RNA", at positions 524 to 776 of the family's 1533-position model. The record is from RNAcentral.
CACGUAGGGCGCAAGCGUUGUCCGGAAUUAUUGGGCGUAAAGAGCUCGUAGGUGGUUUGCUGCGUCCGCUGUGAAAACCCAAGGCUUAACCUUGGGCUUGCAGUGGAUACGGGCAGACUAGAGGUAGGUAGGGGAGAAUGGAAUUCCCGGUGUAGCGGUGAAAUGCGCAGAUAUCGGGAGGAACACCGGUGGCGAAGGCGGUUCUCUGGGCCUUACCUGACAUUGAGGAGCGAAAGCGUGGGGAGCGAACAGG